CGCAUUGGGUGUGUAGUCCCGGCAGUCGCGGACAUCUUGUGCAACUCCGCGGGAGCGAGCAGAUAGCAGUAGAGGGACGGCGCGCCGGCAGCAGCGUUGGCUAGUCCUCAUUUGGACCGGAGGAAGACUGUUUGAAAAAGGCAGAAAUACAUAUAAGGGAGCUUGUCUGGACAUCUAGUUUUAUACGUCUUCGUUGUUCUUACGGUCGCCGUCUGUUGAGGGGGAUAAACACGACGUUUAGUUAUCUUGUUUUUAAGCGAUUUAGCUCGCUAGCUCUCCUGAAAGCCACACACGGAGAAGGAAUGGCGCUGAAACGAAUCCACAAGGAGCUGAACGACUUGGCACGCGACCCCCCCGCACAGUGUUCCGCAGGCCCUGUCGGAGAUGAUAUGUUUCACUGGCAGGCAACAAUCAUGGGACCUAAUGACAGUCCAUACCAGGGUGGUGUUUUCUUUUUGACUAUUCACUUCCCCACAGACUACCCCUUCAAACCCCCUAAGGUGGCAUUUACCACAAGAAUUUAUCAUCCAAACAUUAACAGUAAUGGCAGUAUCUGCCUUGAUAUAUUAAGAUCACAAUGGUCUCCAGCACUAACUAUUUCUAAAGUUCUUUUGUCCAUUUGUUCACUGCUGUGUGAUCCAAACCCAGAUGACCCUCUAGUGCCAGAGAUUGCACGCAUCUACAAGACAGAUAACGAAAACUGGGAGAGUACAGUCGGAAACUGAGCAGGGAGCAGGAGUGAGAGGAGAAGCAGCAGUGAAGAGAGAGAAGAGCAGACACGGGGAAAAGGAGUGAGAGCAGCUGGUACAACAGAAUAGCGCGGGAAUGGACUCAGAAGUAUGCAAUGUGAUGCUGCUCUGUGGACAUCUGAAAACUGAACACAUUAGCUGGAAUAAACUUUAAAUUACUGGUUUCCUUUCAGUUAUUUGGCUGCUGUCCUGUUCCAGACCUUUUUUUUUUUAAACCCCCCCCCCACCCCCCUUCUCUUUUCGUGCCCCUUCAUUGUCACACGCUCUUACAAGGACUCUGGCUUGGACAAGACCAUCUUGCCUUGAGUUUUUCAAAUGUAGAUCUCAUUAAAAGUGCCCACGUUGGUGAGCUCAUCAUGGAGUGCGUGUCAAUGCCGACAUAUCCUUAUAGCCGCUUGGUUAUGAGACAUAAACGAAGCCCCAGCACUACUGCGUGCUGAAGAUGCCAACACCGUCAAGGAUGCCCCAUUUGCUGCCAGCUCUCCCUUCAGGAUCACCUCAUUGCUGGGAUGGCAUCCAUGUUUUUCACAGCUUUUUCUAAUAGCGUUAGAAAAAAUGUAUUUUAUGCUCGUAACCGGCAAUGUGGAUGGCUAACUUCUGCAGAGUGUAAAGCAGCAGCUGGUUGGAAGGCAUAAGGUUAUAACUCUGUAUUUUAUGCAUGUUGAUAAAGAGAUAACCGAUUUAUGUUCUGCCGAUGAUGGAGUUGUGGGGGUGGGUGGGAGGUUGAAUACAUCAGUUCCCCUGGAGUUUCUUUUGUGUAAUUUCAUUUGUGUUUUCCCCUUGUUUUUAGAAAUCGGGAGCUAUUAGUUAAUCAAUCUCCCAUAACUUUUUUUUUCUUGUAGCACUGAAAGACUCAAGGCUCUGAGGAUGAUUGAUUGGCUAAUGGCUCUGCUAGAUUAUUUUAAAAUAGUUUUUUCCCCUCUCUCCCCCUCAAUAAAGUUGUAUAAACCGCUA
RNA transcript from Paramormyrops kingsleyae, 1703 nucleotides. It is a transcript of the gene named ubiquitin-conjugating enzyme E2 D2-like, with no coding region annotated. The record is from RefSeq and is a predicted model, not a curated record. NCBI's taxonomy places the organism in Eukaryota, Metazoa, Chordata, Actinopteri, Osteoglossiformes, Mormyridae.